RNAcentral lists this ribosomal RNA (768 nucleotides) under Triticum aestivum (bread wheat). RNAcentral's name for it is "partial small subunit ribosomal RNA". Lineage: Eukaryota; Viridiplantae; Streptophyta; Magnoliopsida; Poales; Poaceae. The record is from RNAcentral.
AUGAGGAAGGCGCCCGCGGCGGCCGCCAAGCCCAAGCCGAGGGCGAGGGGGAAGGCCAAGCCCAAGCCCAAGCCCAGCCCUGACUCCCUCUCCGCCGCCUCCUCGCCUUCCAGCGCCAGCGCCGGGUCUCCCUCUCCCGUCGCGCUCGGCCGCGGCCUCCCCUCCGCCUCCAAGCCCAAGCCCAGGGCGAGCGCGAGGGUGAGGGCCAAGCCCAAGGGGAAGGCCAGCCCCGACUCCCUCUCCGGCGCCUCCUCGCCGUCCGACGCCAGAGCCGGGUCCCCCUCCCCCUCUCCCGUCGCAGUCGGCCGCGGCGGCUUCCUCUCGCCCGCCUCGCUGGCGACGCCCAAGGCCAGAUCCCCCCUCACCGCGGCGGCCACGUCCACGCCGGCCUCCGUGUCCUCCGUCGGCGACCUCAGGAGCCUCGCCGCCUCCAGCCUCGCCGCGCUCAAGCGCCGCCUCGACGCGCUCCACGCCGACAACGCCCGUGACCUCGAGGCCUCCCACUCGCGGAUCUCCAAGCGCAUCAAGAUGCAGACGCAGAGCUGCGUGCAGAUGUCGGAGGAGGUGGACAAGGAGCAUAAGAAGAUGCUCGACAAGUACUCCCAGCAGGCCGAGGAGAUGAAGGCAUCGUACAAGAAGUUGAUGACAGAUGUGCAGUCGUCUUCGGCUCGUGUGUGCAAGGUGACCUUACCUGAGAUGGGAAAGUCCGUGGCCAGAGCUAUCGAUGGCUUGCGCACUCGCUACAACAUCCCAGCUACAACAGCUUAG